RNAcentral lists this ribosomal RNA (499 nucleotides) under uncultured bacterium. Its description in RNAcentral is "bacterial SSU rRNA". It matches the Rfam family "Bacterial small subunit ribosomal RNA", at positions 899 to 1397 of the family's 1533-position model. The record is from RNAcentral.
ACUCAAAUGAAUUGACGGGGGCCCGCACAAGCGGUGGAGCAUGUGGAUUAAUUCGACGCAACGCGAAGAACCUUACCAAGGCUUGACAUGGAAGCGCCAGGUGUAGAGAUACACCCUUACUUCGGUACGCUUCACACAGGUGGUGCAUGGUUGUCGUCAGCUCGUGUCGUGAGAUGUUGGGUUAAGUCCCGCAACGAGCGCAACCCCUAUGUUCAGUAGCCAGCGGGUAAAGCCGGGCACACUGGAGAGACUGCCGCGGAUAACGCGGAGGAAGGCGGGGACGACGUCAAAUCAUCAUGCCCCUUAUGUCUUGGGCUUCACACGUGCUACAAUGGCCGGAACAAAGUGAUGCAAAGGCGCAAGCCGGAGCGAACCACAAAAAAACGGCCUCAGUUCGGAUUGCAGGCUGCAACCCGCCUGCAUGAAGUUGGAAUCGCUAGUAAUCGCGAAUCAGCAUGUCGCGGUGAAUACGUUCCCGGGCCUUGUACACACCGCCCGU